This 1449-nucleotide ribosomal RNA is filed under the name uncultured bacterium. Its description in RNAcentral is "bacterial SSU rRNA". It matches the Rfam family "Bacterial small subunit ribosomal RNA". The record is from RNAcentral.
GAUGAACGCUAGCGACAGGCUUAACACAUGCAAGUCGAGGGGCAGCGGGGAGUAGCAAUAUUCUGCCGGCGACCGGCGCACGGGUGAGUAACGGGUAUGCAACCUGCCUUUUACAGAGGGAUAACCCGGAGAAAUCCGGACUAAUACCUCAUGGUACCAAUUUACCGCAUGAUAAAUUGGUUAAAGAUUUAUUGGUAGAAGAUGGGCAUGCUUUCCAUUAGGUAGUUGGCAGGGUAACGGCCUACCAAGCCAUCGAUGGAUAGGGGCACUGAGAGGUUUGUCCCCCACACUGGUACUGAGACACGGACCAGACUCCUACGGGAGGCAGCAGUGAGGAAUAUUGGUCAAUGGGCGAGAGCCUGAACCAGCCAAGUCGCGUGAAGGAAGACGGUAUUAUGUAUUGUAAACUUCUUUUGUGAGGGAAUAAAAAGGGGAACGUGUUCCCCAUUGCAUGUACCUUACGAAUAAGCAUCGGCUAACUCCGUGCCAGCAGCCGCGGUAAUACGGAGGAUGCGAGCGUUAUCCGGAUUUAUUGGGUUUAAAGGGUGCGUAGGCGGUUUUUUAAGUCAGUGGUGAAAGUUUGCGGCUCAACCGUAAAAUUGCCAUUGAAACUGAAGGACUUGAGAGUGGUAUAGGUAGGCGGAAUGUGCGGUGUAGCGGUGAAAUGCAUAGAUAUCGCGCAGAACCCCGAUUGCGAAGGCAGCUUACUGGAGCACAUCUGACGCUGAAGCACGAAAGCGUGGGUAUCAAACAGGAUUAGAUACCCUGGUAGUCCACGCUGUAAACGAUGAUUACUAGUUGUUGGCGAUAUACAGUCAGUGACACAGCGAAAGCGUUAAGUAAUCCACCUGGGGAGUACGCCGGCAACGGUGAAACUCAAAGGAAUUGACGGGGGCCCGCACAAGCGGAGGAACAUGUGGUUUAAUUCGAUGAUACGCGAGGAACCUUACCCGGGCUCGAACGGCACAGGAAUAUGUAUGAAAGUAUAUAGCUAGCAAUAGUCUGUGUCGAGGUGCUGCAUGGUUGUCGUCAGCUCGUGCCGUGAGGUGUCGGCUUAAGUGCCAUAACGAGCGCAACCCUUAUCUAUAGUUACCAUCAGGUUAAGCUGGGGACUCUAUGGAGACUGCCACCGUAAGGUGUGAGGAAGGUGGGGAUGACGUCAAAUCAGCACGGCCCUUACGUCCGGGGCGACACACGUGUUACAAUGGAUGGUACAGAGGGUUGCUACUUAGUGAUAAGAUGCUAAUCUCCAAAAGCCAUUCUCAGUUCGGAUCGGAGUCUGCAACUCGACUCCGUGAAGCUGGAUUCGCUAGUAAUCGCGCAUCAGCCAUGGCGCGGUGAAUACGUUCCCGGGCCUUGUACACACCGCCCGUCAAGCCAUGGAAGCCGGGGGGACCUGAAGUACGUAACCGCAAGGAGCGUCCUAGGGUAAAAUCGGUAACUGGGGCU